This 420-nucleotide ribosomal RNA is filed under the name Dirkmeia churashimaensis. Its description in RNAcentral is "LSU rRNA". It matches the Rfam family "Eukaryotic large subunit ribosomal RNA", at positions 199 to 698 of the family's 3401-position model. The record is from RNAcentral. Lineage: Eukaryota; Fungi; Basidiomycota; Ustilaginomycetes; Ustilaginales; Ustilaginaceae.
GGCAUCAUAGAGGGUGAUAAUCCCGUACAUGGCAUGGAGCGCCCGAAGCUUUGUGAUACGCUUUCUAAGAGUCGAGUUGUUUGGGAAUGCAGCUCAAAAUGGGUGGUAAAUGCCAUCUAAGGCUAAAUAUUGGGGAGAGACCGAUAGCGAACAAGUACAGUGAUGGAAAGAUGAAAAGAACUUUGAAAAGAGAGUUAAACAGUACGUGAAAUUGCCAAAAGGGAAGGGUAGGAGGUCAGAGAUGCGGCCUGGGAUUCAGCCUUGCUUUUGCUUGGUGUUUUUCCCAGAUUGCAGGCCAACGUCGGUUUUGGGCACUGGAGAAGGGUAGGAGGAACGUGGCACCUCUCGGGGUGUGUUAUAGCCUCCUACUGGAUACAGCGACCGAGACCGAGGACAGCAGCGUACUCGCAAGAGCGGGCC